Molecule: transfer RNA, 76 nt
Filed under: Pseudomonadota bacterium
Lineage: Bacteria; Pseudomonadati; Pseudomonadota
Description: Proteobacteria bacterium tRNA-Ala
Source: RNAcentral
GGGGCGGUAGCUCAGCUGGGAGAGCGCCACGUUCGCAUCGUGGAGCUUGACGGCCCGGAUCGACUCGGAAGACCUA